GUGCUCGCUUUGGCAGCACAUGUACUAAAAUUGGUAUGAUACAAAGAAGAUUAUCAUGGCCCCUGCACAAGGAUGACACGCAAAUUUGUGAAAGUUGU
This is a small nuclear RNA of Dipodomys ordii (Ord's kangaroo rat), 98 nucleotides long. The record is from Ensembl. NCBI's taxonomy places the organism in Eukaryota, Metazoa, Chordata, Mammalia, Rodentia, Heteromyidae.